UGGGUAACCUGCCCUAAAGUCUGGGAUACCACUUGGAAACAGGUGCUAAUACCGGAUAACAACAAUAGCUGCAUGGCUAUUGCUUAAAAGGCGGCGAAAGCUGUCGCUAAAGGAUGGACCCGCGGUGCAUUAGCUAGUUGGUAAGGUAAUGGCUUACCAAGGCGACGAUGCAUAGCCGAGUUGAGAGACUGAUCGGCCACAUUGGGACUGAGACACGGCCCAAACUCCUACGGGAGGCAGCAGUAGGGAAUCUUCCACAAUGGGCGAAAGCCUGAUGGAGCAACGCCGCGUGAGUGAAGAAGGUUUUCGGAUCGUAAAGCUCUGUUGUUGGUGAAGAAGGAUAGAGGUAGUAACUGGCCCCUAUUUGACGGUAAUCAACCAGAAAGUCACGGCUAACUACGUGCCAGCAGCCGCGGUAAUACGUAGGUGGCAAGCGUUGUCCGGAUUUAUUGGGCGUAAAGCGAGCGCAGGCGGAAAGAUAAGUCUGAUGUGAAAGCCCCCGGCUUAACCGAGGAAUUGCAUCGGAAACUGUGUUUCUUGAGUGCAGAAGAGGAGAGUGGAACUCCAUGUGUAGCGGUGGAAUGCGUAGAUAUAUGGAAGAACACCAGUGGCGAAGGCGGCUCUCUGGUCUGUAACUGACGCUGAGGCUCGAAAGCAUGGGUAGCGA
Molecule: ribosomal RNA, 667 nt
Filed under: uncultured bacterium
Lineage: Bacteria
Description: bacterial SSU rRNA
Rfam family: Bacterial small subunit ribosomal RNA
Source: RNAcentral